Molecule: long non-coding RNA, 260 nt
Filed under: Lathyrus oleraceus (garden pea)
Lineage: Eukaryota; Viridiplantae; Streptophyta; Magnoliopsida; Fabales; Fabaceae
Description: Pisum sativum (pea) long non-coding RNA (PSAT_LNC007106)
Source: RNAcentral
GACGAGUGAACUUCUUCAUCCAUUGUUGUAAGUGUCGAAACAUUGCCUGAAGAGGCUGGACGUUCAUAGCUUGGGGGGUUCACUUGCCCCUGGAAUCGGGCACGAAAGACAGGACUUUCUUGAGCAUGAGGUCCCUCGGAACACACGAGGCUUGACCUUCUUGUUGAAUGCUUUUUCACUCUCUGCUGAUAUGACUGACCAUGACACAUGGCAGUUGAUCUCUUCCUUUCGAUCGAAUUCAGCAUCAGCCAACUUGGGAC